AUUACAAAAUAUUUUUUAAAUUGCGAUUAAAAAAUAUUUUAAAUAAUAACAUUUGCAUUGCUCAUCAAAAAUUUGUUUAAAUUAAGAAGUGAUUCGAAAAGCAUCUAUUUUAUCAUGCAAACCGUUACAUUCGUACUGUUGUUAAUAGUUGCGACAGCAUUGUCCGCGAAAUCAAGUUCCCGUGGCGGACUCAUCGAAGGACCGCCAACUGUGAGGUGCAAUGAAUACGCAGGUUUUUUAACGCCAACUCGUCUGUUACUACUAUCGCUGGCUAUGAUAUUGUUGGGCUUGAAACAAUCCCCACUAACACGAUUGGGACAAACAACGCCCGUCAAUCCGGUCCGCCCCACGCCAAAAUGAUGUGAAAACCAUAAUGUGAUAAUAAUGAUAAUAAUGAUUUGUGUAUGAAAUACUUAUAUUUUAAUAAAAUUAGUUUAAUACGCUUUUGCUCACAUUCGAAGUCUGGGAUAAA
Molecule: long non-coding RNA, 472 nt
Filed under: Ceratitis capitata (Mediterranean fruit fly)
Lineage: Eukaryota; Metazoa; Arthropoda; Insecta; Diptera; Tephritidae
Description: uncharacterized LOC105665445, transcript variant X1
Source: RNAcentral